RNAcentral lists this ribosomal RNA (660 nucleotides) under Bacillus amyloliquefaciens. RNAcentral's name for it is "bacterial SSU rRNA". It matches the Rfam family "Bacterial small subunit ribosomal RNA", at positions 73 to 717 of the family's 1533-position model. Lineage: Bacteria; Bacillati; Bacillota; Bacilli; Caryophanales; Bacillaceae. The record is from RNAcentral.
UGGGAGCUUGCUCCCUGAUGUUAGCGGCGGACGGGUGAGUAACACGUGGGUAACCUGCCUGUAAGACUGGGAUAACUCCGGGAAACCGGGGCUAAUACCGGAUGGUUGUUUGAACCGCAUGGUUCAGACAUAAAAGGUGGCUUCGGCUACCACUUACAGAUGGACCCGCGGCGCAUUAGCUAGUUGGUGAGGUAACGGCUCACCAAGGCAACGAUGCGUAGCCGACCUGAGAGGGUGAUCGGCCACACUGGGACUGAGACACGGCCCAGACUCCUACGGGAGGCAGCAGUAGGGAAUCUUCCGCAAUGGACGAAAGUCUGACGGAGCAACGCCGCGUGAGUGAUGAAGGUUUUCGGAUCGUAAAGCUCUGUUGUUAGGGAAGAACAAGUGCCGUUCAAAUAGGGCGGCACCUUGACGGUACCUAACCAGAAAGCCACGGCUAACUACGUGCCAGCAGCCGCGGUAAUACGUAGGUGGCAAGCGUUGUCCGGAAUUAUUGGGCGUAAAGGGCUCGCAGGCGGUUUCUUAAGUCUGAUGUGAAAGCCCCCGGCUCAACCGGGGAGGGUCAUUGGAAACUGGGGAACUUGAGUGCAGAAGAGGAGAGUGGAAUUCCACGUGUAGCGGUGAAAUGCGUAGAGAUGUGGAGGAACACCAGUGGCG